RNAcentral lists this ribosomal RNA (253 nucleotides) under uncultured bacterium. RNAcentral's name for it is "partial 16S ribosomal RNA". It matches the Rfam family "Bacterial small subunit ribosomal RNA", at positions 524 to 776 of the family's 1533-position model. The record is from RNAcentral.
AACGUAGGAGGCAAGCGUUAUCCGGAUUUACUGGGCGUAAAGCGCGUGCAGGCGGUCUGGUAAGAUGGAUGAGAAAGCUCCCGGCUCAACUCGGAGAGGUCGUUCAAAACUGCCAGACUAGAGGACGGUAGAGGGAGGUGGAAUUCCGGGUGUAGUGGUGAAAUGCGUAGAUAUCCGGAGGAACACCAGUGGCGAAAGCGGCCUCCUGGACCGUCCCUGACGCUCAGACGCGAAAGCUAGUGGAGCAAACGGG